This is a non-coding RNA of Oryza sativa Japonica Group (Japanese rice), 4548 nucleotides long. The record is from RefSeq and is a predicted model, not a curated record. NCBI's taxonomy places the organism in Eukaryota, Viridiplantae, Streptophyta, Magnoliopsida, Poales, Poaceae.
GCCUCCGCAGCUUUUUCUCUGAGCUGGACAGGCGCCGCGGCCGGAUACAUCCAUCUUCGGUGAAGUUCUCCGGUGGAGUCAUGGGGUGCUCUCUAGUCUCUACAGCACGCCCAUGUUCCUGCGGCCCUGGAGGCGACGCCGUCGACCACAACAGCGAUGGCCACGGAGGUACUCCUCCUCGGCGACGCUCGUGCUGGAGAAGAAGCAGUCGACGACGACGAGGGCCUCGUGGAGGAGCCCCAGGCGGCGGAGAAUGUCGGCGCGGCCGCGCCUGCGGCACCUUAGUUAUCGUCAACCUCAAGCCUGAUGGAGAUGGUUAGAGCAGCAUAGUCUUUGUUCUGAGUUCUGACCUGGUUGAUUUUUUUUUCUUUUCUCUUUUGUGCGAUUCAUUUGGACGAAAGCAUGAGUGUUCGUCCCGUUUGCCUUUUACUCCGUUUCGCGCGAAGUGAAGGGAAGUAGCCCUCGUUCUGUCUCCUAUUUCGCCGCCACCGCCGCGCCCGGAUCCCCCUCUUCCUCUCCGCUUCCACCGAGCCCAGAAUCCCCAGAACCCCAGAAUCCCGCGGGCGGCGAGACGGGUUUAGGGUUUAGGAGGGCGGCCCCCUGGGGCUCCGCCGCGACCUCCUUCGACGAAGGGCUCCGUGCGCGUUGGGGCGAGGGCCAAGUGCCGCGCUCUCCACGGUCGGCCCGCGGAGCCGGAGGGGGGCGACGCGGCCGCGACCACGGCGAGGUCCGCUCCUGGCGGCUGAUUUCAGGGUCUGCACCGCGCUGAAUCCGAGCAGGGUUCUCCGCUAUUCUUGCGAGAAGAUGAUAGGGUUUUCCCCUUUUGCGCCUCUCUGGAUUGUGAUGCAGUAAGUUUUUUCACUUCCUGCUGUUUUGGGUUUUAUUGAUUCAAGCUGAGGGAUCAUGGGAUGAGCAAACUACAGUCCUGCUCAAGAAUGAGGUAUGCCUAUGCCGAUUCAGUCCGAUUCUGCAUUCUGGUUCACUGCUGAUCAUGUUCAUUAUCUGUCAAUUCACUAGUAUGAUGUCAGUUGAGUCAGAUCAGUGGACUGGCAACUUGUGAAGUUGUGACCUGGCCAUUGUCGAUUUGUUAGAAUUGCAUCCCCCGUUCUGUUUGUAAUGACAAUCUCUUAGCAUUGUUCAACCUAUCUAUGUAGAGCAUCUUUGUGGUCCAGCAAAGAGUACCGGCUGGUACUGGUACUGCUCGGUGCCAGUACACAUCUGGCCGUUCAUUCCUGUAUGGGUAGGAUGGGGAGAAGAAAUUCACUCGGCGCUCGCUCGGUCCUUCUCCUUCCACAGCCGCGCUUGCGCCCUCAAUCCAUCGUCCCCACGCGCUUCCUUCCGCCCCCACACGCUUCCCUCCGCAGUAAAAUUGAUUUCUCCUUCUCCGCCGCCGCCCAACCCUAACCCCCCAUAUCAUCAUCCGCGUCGUCCUUCGUCGCUCCUCGGCUCAAGGGUUCAACUCGAACUCACGGCACAGGAGCAUGAACACGGCGACGGCGGCGGCAGAGGAUAACGGCGGCGGCGGCGGCGGCAGAGCAACAUGGCAGCGAAAGGCAAGGAGAGCAAAUACUAGGGUUCGAGCGAGUUGCCACUUGCCAGCCCCGAUCCAUCCCUCCUGAUCCAUCCAGUAGCAACGCGAAGUUACAAUAAUACCCUUCCAACCAAGUUGUCUGGGCGGUACCGCAUCAGGGACAUUCUUGGUACCGGGAGGUACCAAACAAUCCAGCCGUUGGAUCGGGCCAGAUCCAACGGCCAGCAUUCGGUACCGCCCGGUACCAUUGGACGGUAAAAACUCUCAUCUAUGUAAGGCAACUAAACAAUACAGAGUGGAGAGAUUUCAACCCAGAGAGUUAUUUUAUGGUUAUGUUCUCAAACCGGAUCAAGAAUUCCAAUUUUUUAUCACAUAGGCAAGCAUGGUAGAUAUUUGUAAGAAUCCAUACAUUUCCAGAAAUAUUUGAUGUUAGAGCAACUGGGAGAGAGAAGUCAUUAAAAUAUGUUUGUUCCCUUCUAACUGUACUUCUGACCGGACAAUCAGUAAACCUCCCAAAUUUCCUUGAGAUGGUAAGAACACGAACUUGUUCAACUGAGCUGGGUAGAAAUUUUUAGUAUAUGUUGCCUCAAUUGUUUUUCUUUGUUUCUUGAAGGCAGAUGAUGUUAUAAUUAGAAUCACUGAUUUUAUUUUCUGAUUGCAUUCCACUUAUCAGCAGAAUGAAUGCCUCUAACAUUCCAACAUGGAAUAUUGAAAUUUUUGAUUCAUUGUCAAUGCUUGUUGUUCAGAAUUAAAAUUUCUGAUAUCUUUCAAAAGACCAGAAGUGAGCAGAUUUUAGACAGCUAGUGUGUCUUCCACAAUUAUGCAUAUAGGAGUGGACCAGAAGAAAUAACAUUGAUGUUAUAAAGGAUUCUCUGGAUCUUGUACCUGUGGUAACAUAUGCUGGAGAUACUGCAUUUCAGAUUCACUGCUUGGAGCGAUCAACAUAUACCCUUGAAAGUUCUGUACAAAGAAAGAUGCAUUGCAUAGUGAUAUCUCGUGAUCUAGCUUGUAUAAUUAAGUGAACGACAGAUAAACGGUAUACUCUUGAGAGGAGUUUUGUUCAUUCCAUAUUAUCUUUCUUUUGUGCAGUUAUAGUUAUUAUAUACUCUUAUGGAAUUAUUUUGAUUUAUUAUACUUCAUUGCUUCGUCUGUAUAUUCUGUUGUUUUUACCUUACAAUUACAGGCCAAACUUCUUACUAAACUUCCUUUUUUUUACGCAAAAGGUAGAGAGGCUCUACCUUAUUACCAUUGUAUUAAUGGUGGUCAAUGGUUUACAUGGCCAAGUGGCCAAUUACAAAAGGAAAGGAAGAGAGAAAAUACAGAGGUAAAGGGGAACGAAGGAAGAAGAUAGAAGAGAAAAAAGAAAGAAGAAAGAAAGAAGAAAUAAGAAAGAAAAUGAAAGAGGGAAAGAGUAGCAUAUGAAUACAAUUGUCUGCAUAUUCUGGUUUCUUGUUGUCUGCAGGAGGUUGGAAACGCUUGUGUUAGCUCAGUUGAAUACCGCAUCAUUCCUUGCCUUCCAUAGGUUGUGAGCACAGGCAGCGAAGCAUAUCAACCAUCCCAGCUUGAGGUGGCCCUGAGAAGAACCUAGGACUUCAUCAACGAAUUGGAGGAUGUCAGUGCAUUGGAUUGCUAUGGAAUUUAGGCCGAGUUUUGUCCAGAGGGCCUCAGCCAGUUUGCAACGCAACACAAUGUGGUCUGCUGAUUCAAUUGCUGGGCAGAUGUUGCAGUGUGGGUCAGACGACCACUUUUGUGCGUUCUGUUGUUGUUGGAGUUUAACCUGUCUUUGAAGGCUAGCUAGAGGAAGAUUCUGCAAGUAUUUGGGAUGGCUUUGAGCCAUAUGAAUUCAGCCGGCUUCCAUGAUAUGCCAUGGAAUGUGAGGAGUCUGUAAAAUGCUGCGGUUGUUAUUCCGUUGAGGGAUUGAAGGCAUGAUCUUGUAUCUGGUGCAUCUGCAUGUGGUUGAAGAGUUGCCAAAGUGUUCAUGAGGAGGUUGAGUUCUGUCUGUGCCUGGUUUGAUAACACUGGGUGGAGAUUAAUCGCUCAGGUGUUUUGUGUGAAUUGUGAGGCGACUGUACAGUUGAUGUUGGUUGCAAAUGAUGCCAGUGAUGGGUAGGUGAUGAAGAAGCAGCCGUCGUCCGUCCAAUGGUCUUUCCAGAAUUGCACCGAAAGGUCGCUUCCCAGCGAAACUUUGGUUGAUGCUAUUGUUGGUUCCAAUGCUCCACAGAUCAUCUUCCAAACCGGUGUAUCAGUUGGUCUUGCUAGGAUAGGAAUCUCGUUCUGCAGGUGCUGUGCUCUGAGCCAGUGGAAGCAUGGCUCCGGGGAGCCAGAUAGCAGCUUGCUUGCAAGUUUCAUUAGUAGCGACAGGUUGUGAGCUUUGAGAUCUCGUAUGCCCAGUCCUCCCUCUUCUUUUGACAUGGUGACAGUAUCCCAGGCGAAAAGGCAAUGACCUCCUACUAAACUGAGAAAUAAACUAAAAUUUCGGAUGCUGAGCUUAGAGAAGUUUUCAUGAAUAUCACUUCAAAUGAGUAUAGUUACUUCGAAUGAGUAUGUCACGCCUUUGCGGUGAACAUAUCUACUUGUUGCCUCCCAGGAAACAAAAAUCAUGCUGAUUAAUCAGAUGUCAAUUACUUCUUUGCAGUAAGCAGGAAAUGUUGUUUGGCAAAUAACUCUGUUCUUUAGGAUCCUGCUUUUGGUGCACAUGCCAUGGUUCCAGAUAAGAUUGUCAAAGAUGGACAAGCUUCACCUCAUUCACAAACUGCAUCAGUUUGGCUUAGGAAUCACAAAUACCUUGACGUUCAAUGCCAUCCAUGAGGAGUGUCGACAUAUUAUGGAUCAUGCAGUAAUCUAAGAAGUUGAAAUCUGGAAAUGGGUGUGCAUUAUCAUAUUUAAAAAUCUUCUCCUGCUGAACAAUUGCCAGUUGCGGGAUUCCUCUGUGCAGGUGGUAUGUAUUGUUUUGUUUUUUAAGUUAAGAUCGAACUAUAAUAUGUGUGCUUUUCUCAAUGAAAUGGUUUAUUUGGUGC